RNAcentral lists this transfer RNA (73 nucleotides) under Deltaproteobacteria bacterium. Its description in RNAcentral is "tRNA-Ile". It matches the Rfam family "tRNA". Rfam says of the family: Transfer RNA (tRNA) molecules are approximately 80 nucleotides in length. Their secondary structure includes four short double-helical elements and three loops (D, anti-codon, and T loops). Further hydrogen bonds mediate the characteristic L-shaped molecular structure. tRNAs have two regions of fundamental functional importance: the anti-codon, which is responsible for specific mRNA codon recognition, and the 3' end, to which the tRNAs corresponding amino acid is attached (by aminoacyl-tRNA synthetases). tRNAs cope with the degeneracy of the genetic code in two manners: having more than one tRNA (with a specific anti-codon) for a particular amino acid; and 'wobble' base-pairing, i.e. permitting non-standard base-pairing at the 3rd anti-codon position. The record is from RNAcentral. Lineage: Bacteria; Pseudomonadati; Myxococcota; Myxococcia.
AAUAGGUUUGGGAAUUUAGUUCAUCUGGCUUAUAACCCGAAGGUCGAAGGUUCGAAUCCUUCCCCUGUUACCA